AACGAACGCUGGCGGCAGGCUUAACACAUGCAAGUCGAACGAGAUCUUCGGAUCUAGUGGCAGACGGGUGAGGAACACGUGGGAACAUCCCUUUCAGUUCGGAAUAACGUUGGGAAACUAACGCUAAUACCGGAUACGUCCUUCGGGAGAAAGAUUUAUCGCUGAAAGAUUGGCCCGCGUCUGAUCAGCUAGUUGGUGAGGUAAUGGCUCACCAAGGCUACGAUCAGUAGCUGAUCUGGGAGGAUGAUCAGCCACAUUGGGACUGAGACACGGCCCAAACUCCUACGGGAGGCAGCAGUGGGGAAUAUUGGACAAUGGGCGCAAGCCUGAUCCAGCCAUGCCGCGUGAGUGAUGAAGGCCUUCGGGUUGUAAAGCUCUUUUAUCCGGGAAGAUAAUGACUGUACCAGAAGAAUAAGCCCCGGCAAACUUCGUGCCAGCCGCCGCCGUAA
This 449-nucleotide ribosomal RNA is filed under the name uncultured bacterium. RNAcentral describes it as "partial 16S ribosomal RNA". It matches the Rfam family "Bacterial small subunit ribosomal RNA", at positions 29 to 523 of the family's 1533-position model. The record is from RNAcentral.